AACGAACGCUGGCGGCAUGCCUAACACAUGCAAGUCGAACGAAGGCUUCGGCCUUAGUGGCGCACGGGUGAGUAACGCGUAGGGAACUGCCUAUUGGUGGGGAAUAACGACGGGAAACUGUCGCUAAUACCGCAUAAGCCCUUCGGGGGAAAGAUUUAUCGCCGAUAGAUGUGCCCGCGUCCGAUUAGCUAGUUGGUGAGGUAAUGGCUCACCAAGGCGACGAUCGGUAGCUGGUCUGAGAGGAUGAUCAGCCACACUGGGACUGAGACACGGCCCAGACUCCUACGGGAGGCAGCAGUGGGGAACAUUGGACAAUGGGCGAAAGCCUGAUCCAGCAAUGCCGCGUGAGUGAUGAAGGCCUUAGGGUUGUAAAGCUCUUUCGGGUGGGACGAUGAUGACGGUACCACCAGAAGAAGCCCCGGCUAACUUCGUGCCAGCCGCCGCGGUAA
RNAcentral lists this ribosomal RNA (449 nucleotides) under uncultured bacterium. Its description in RNAcentral is "partial 16S ribosomal RNA". It matches the Rfam family "Bacterial small subunit ribosomal RNA", at positions 29 to 523 of the family's 1533-position model. The record is from RNAcentral.